Molecule: long non-coding RNA, 2651 nt
Organism: Oryza brachyantha (malo sina)
Lineage: Eukaryota; Viridiplantae; Streptophyta; Magnoliopsida; Poales; Poaceae
Exons: 6
Source: RefSeq, a predicted model, not a curated record
CACGCCGCCGGGUUCGCCCAGUACACCCAUCUCCACCACACCGGGAUCAUCUGCAUCCAGAGUUCUUGUUCAUCAGGUGAAUGGGGAUGUCCAAUAUCCCCAGCGCAACCAUGGUUGGAGGGAAUCUGGACAAGUAUUACAAACUGGUGAGUAUCAUUGCUGCACAUAAGUCUUAAGUUGUUUCCUGUACUACAGAGUUGCCAUACUUCCAAAGUUAGUCUGAACAAAAUCAUCUAACCUUUUGAUAUGACAAAACCUCCAAGUAUGUAGAUUGCUAUAAGAGCUGCAGUCCCCAGCAUGUUAGCCAUUACUUGUGUCCUUCCUAUGGCUGCCAAGAAGCGAUACAGAGCCAUUGACAUUUGAUGCAUGGCAAAAAGCACCACGAACUGCUGGAUAAAUCUGUCAGAAGCAAGAGAAAAUUCUUUCCAUUACUUCGAUCUAUUCAAGUAAGACAAUCCUUAUACUUAUUGUUUAAAUACAGAACUUGUGUGGAGGAGGUACCUGACAGGGGAAGGUGCGUAGCCGAUCACAUAGUACGUUAAGCUGGUCCAUAGACCUGUCUCUACAAGUGACAUUGGCAGACUAAUGAGGAAUACUGAAGAAAGGAGUGCCCAUCCUGGCAAUGCUAGUACUUCUCUUUGCUUGUAAAAUAUUGGGAGCCGCUUUAUUGUCAUCGCAAUUUCAGUCAUACCAUUGAAGUUUACUAUCACAACAGCCAUAAAGAGUGCUCCCAUGUACUUAUUGCCAUCAAGUACAGUAUCGUGACUCAUGUUUGUCCGAAGAAAAAGAGUUGAAAUCACUAAAGCGAGAACAGUUAUCUGUAUGGUCUUGAAUAAAUGCACUGGAGAGUUUCUUUUUAAAAGCAGCACUUCCCUUGAAAAGCAUGCCUUGAAAAUAUUCCACCUGGAGAUCCUGCGACUUGUGCUUGUUUUUACCUCCUUGCUCCUUCCAGCAUUUGUUGACUUCAACUGAUCAUUUUCGACGAGUCGAGGGAGAUACGAGGAGUAAUUGAUAACGGAGUACCUCUUGAAGGAAAUCUGCUACAUUCUUCCUGUUGGGGCAUUUGAAUCCCAUAGUUUGAAAGAAAUCUGUUGCAUUUUCUCGAGGACCAUGAUAUACAAUCUGGCCCUCACAUAAAAGGAUUAUGUCAUCAAAUAACUCCAAUGUCUCAGGUGGUGGUUGUAGCAAUGAAAUAACCAUUGUGAGAUCCAUCAAAUGAGCCAUUUGUUGCAGAAACUUCAUGAUCUCAAAUGUGGUGGAGCUAUCUAGACCAGUUGAUAUAUCAUCCAUAAAGAAGCAUCUUGCAAGACCAACUAGCAUCUCGCCUGCAUCAAGGAAGUACAGCUUAGUUCCCCAGUUGUCUUCCCUGAACCUGGUGCUCCAAGAAGAAGUGUCAUCCUGAUUGCAGAACGGGUUGCAAGAUUUCAUUAGCUCAGGUAAUCUGGGAUUAUUUUGGCUGUGUUAGGCUCGUGAUGUUCAGGCUCGCAUGCACACACGUGUUGCGAGCUUUCGUGGGAUAUGCUGGACACGUUGGCCAGUGCUGUACUUUCUGAAAACGGAAGAAAAUUGACCUGCCAAACCGCCAGAAGGAUCACAUAAAUGAUCAACUGCUGAUCCGCUGAUAAGGAGGUGGUGUGAAAUGCAUGUAAGGAGAAGAAUAAGCAGCUGAACAGGAUCAGCUGCUGAUAAGGAGGUGGUCUUUAUGCAUGCGGAGAAAAGAAUAAGCAGAGCAGCUGAACAGGCCUGAAGUCAAAGCUUGCCAUGCUUGCCAGAAUGUCCACAGAUAUGAUCAAAGAUGUGACAGUACUAAAAACUUUUAUGCCUCCAAGUAUCUAGGACAUCUGGUCUGUUCUCUGUAUUUUGGGUGUUUGCCAACACUCACAACACCACAGCGAGAACUUGGUACGAUUGCAAACAGGAAAGAGUCUCCAACAGUUCUGGUUACUAGGGAAAGGAACAAGCAGCAGCCCGGGGCAACGGAGAACGGACAAGCUUACAAUUAAUGCAGAUACCAUCGUCGUCCCCGCCGCUGCCGUCAUCGACGCCACUGUUCAGGCUGCUGGAGCUGUAGCUCGAGGAAAUGCCAGGUUGGAUCUGUGGUACUGCUACCUCUGAAUUUAUUACCGUGCAUUGACCUGUGUAGCGCAGUGCCUGCUGGCUUAAAUACUGGGAAUAUCAUCAGGUUUUGAAUGAUCUGUUGCCGGUUGGGAGAAAAUAGUCCAUGGUAUUGCAGACAUGAUGGUGUGGAUAUAACGGCGCGCAGUAACUGGGAGUCCUAUUACACCUAAGGCCAACUUCCAUUCACCAAACCCAGGUUCAUCUCGUGUAGUGAUUGUGGACUCGUACAAGGAUAUGGAGUCGACGGUUGAUGUAUCAGACUCGACCCUGUCUUUCGUAGCAUGCAUUCCCAUCUGUGUUGCAACUGAUUCGGUAAGCUACGUGUCCGGUGCACGGAAAACUGCCUUCGGUCUCCCAACCUUACUCAUGGCAACCUUCCGGCCGCCCAACGACCUAUAACGCUAGUCACUACUCCCACUGGGGCUAGGAAGUAAGCCCCACAACCCAAAGCGGCGAAGAACAAAUAGAAUUUGCUACAAAAGCCGGCUAACGGGGGUAUUCCUGCGUAUGAGAACAUUGUAAUGGAGAAGGUC